This 447-nucleotide ribosomal RNA is filed under the name uncultured bacterium. Its description in RNAcentral is "partial 16S ribosomal RNA". It matches the Rfam family "Bacterial small subunit ribosomal RNA", at positions 29 to 523 of the family's 1533-position model. The record is from RNAcentral.
AACGAACGCUGGCGGCAGGCUUAACACAUGCAAGUCGAACGCCCCGCAAGGGGAGUGGCAGACGGGUGAGUAACGCGUGGGAAUCUACCGUACCCUACGGAACAACAGUUGGAAACGACUGCUAAUACCGUAUACGCCCUACGGGGGAAAGAUUUAUCGGGGUAUGAUGAGCCCGCGUUGGAUUAGCUAGUUGGUGGGGUAAAGGCCUACCAAGGCGACGAUCCAUAGCUGGUCUGUGAGGAUGAUCAGCCACAUUGGGACUGAGACACGGCCCAAACUCCUACGGGAGGCAGCAGUGGGGAAUAUUGGACAAUGGGCGCAAGCCUGAUCCAGCCAUGCCGCGUGAGUGAUGAAGGUCUUAGGAUUGUAAAGCUCUUUCACCGAUGAAGAUAAUGACGGUAGUCGGAGAAGAAGCCCCGGCUAACUUCGUGCCUGCAGCAGCCGCCG